This 48-nucleotide non-coding RNA is filed under the name Methanocaldococcus lauensis. RNAcentral describes it as "Methanocaldococcus sp. SG7 flpD". It matches the Rfam family "flpD RNA". Lineage: Archaea; Methanobacteriati; Methanobacteriota; Methanococci; Methanococcales; Methanocaldococcaceae. The record is from RNAcentral.
CCAAAUGAGGCACCAUCCGAAGGCUUUUUGCCAGGAUGGUGCUGAUGG